GAUGAAGAACGUAGCGAAAUGCGAUACGUAAUGCGAAUUGCAGAUCUAGUGAAUCAUCGAGUCUUUGAACGCACAUUGCGCCCCCCGGCACUCCGGGGGGCUUGUCCGACCGAGCGCCGCAGCGCCGCCCAGGCCUCCCUCGCCCCCGCUGAGGACAGCGGGGGCGAGUGGGGGCCUGGUGUUGGGGCACGCCGACGCCCCAGAGCGUCGGCGGCCCUGAAAUCCAGCCGCGGCCGCCGCAGCCCCAGCGCGGCCUCCCCCUAGGCGCAGUACGUUCUCACCUGUAAAAAGGGUGCUGCCGCCUGCGAGGGAGAGGUCCCUGCGACGGCCCGUCACCGGAUGGGGGGGUUAGGGCUCCGCCCGCCCGCCCGCCACCACGAACCCAGGUUGGCCUCGGGUCGGACAAGGUUACCCGCUGAACUUAAGCAUAUCAAUAAGCGGAGGA
RNAcentral lists this unclassified non-coding RNA (445 nucleotides) under soil metagenome. Its description in RNAcentral is "partial internal transcribed spacer 1". The stretch from base 1 to 119 matches the Rfam family "5.8S ribosomal RNA", at positions 35 to 154 of the family's 154-position model. The record is from RNAcentral.